CAACUUUCAACAACGGAUCUCUUGGUUCUGGCAUCGAUGAAGAACGCAGCGAAAUGCGAUAAGUAGUGUGAAUUGCAGAAUUCAGUGAAUCAUCGAAUCUUUGAACGCACAUUGCGCCCUUUGGUAUUCCAAAGGGCAUGCCUGUUCGAGCGUCAUUUG
This 159-nucleotide ribosomal RNA is filed under the name Alternaria alternata. Its description in RNAcentral is "5.8S ribosomal RNA". It matches the Rfam family "5.8S ribosomal RNA". Rfam says of the family: 5.8S ribosomal RNA (5.8S rRNA) is a component of the large subunit of the eukaryotic ribosome. It is transcribed by RNA polymerase I as part of the 45S precursor that also contains 18S and 28S rRNA. Functionally, it is thought that 5.8S rRNA may be involved in ribosome translocation. The record is from RNAcentral. Lineage: Eukaryota; Fungi; Ascomycota; Dothideomycetes; Pleosporales; Pleosporaceae. RNAcentral also lists the same sequence under 21 other names.